CCCUCCCUUUUCUUAGAAAGCUAAAAACAUAAGAACCAACGGUGCAACUGAAAAACUAGAAGAAUGAUUCAGUUUUGAGCGACAUCUUCGUGAUCUCAAUUCAGCUAGUUCAACUGGGUAUCGAAUUAUAUUAGAGGGGCAAGGUGGAUCAUAAUGACAAUUGAAUUUAUGUUACUGGGAACGACUAGGAUCUUCUUGAGAGUAGCGAAUCCACUCAAUUGAAGAGCAAUCAAGAAAAUUUACGGACCGAUUUCUCUUCAACCGAGAACGAAACUCUCUUGAGAGAAAACACUAAGAAAGAAAGAAAAAAAAAGAGAGAAAAGAUCUAGGAGAGAGAAAUGAUACUAAAUCUGGAUUCUCAAUUGGAUGCAUGACCCGGUGGCCUCCUUUUAUCCAGAGAAAGGGUUGGUCAUCCCUUUAUUUUUCUUAGCCUAGCACAGAGGGAUUUAAAGUCUGAAUAAAAGAAGACUUACUUACAAGAAAGAAGCCAAAUGGUUGGCCAAAGUGUUGUCUGACAGAAAAUAAAUAUCGAGAAAACUGAUUUAUUGUUUAAGGGAAAGAAAUUUCUAAUAUUUUCAAGAUUCACCAUAUGUUACUUUUCAAAAAACGUAAUCACUUGCAUUGAAAAAGAUUGGAUAAAGAUUUCAAGAAGAGUUCUAAAGAAGGUAUCUGUUAAGAAGACGCAAUGAUCUGUCAACAGUUUUUAAAAACAGUGUGAUGUCAUAAAAGUAUUUGUAUAAUAAUCUAGUUAUAAAUUUGUAAACAAUAUAUAUUGUAAGUAUAUUGCGCACACAAUAAACAAACAUUUCUUAACAUUUCCUAAACAUUUCUUAAUUUUUAUGUUGUAAUUUUGCCACUUCAGACAUUUAGUUUGAUUCUUCGU
Parasteatoda tepidariorum (common house spider) is the source of this 883-nucleotide long non-coding RNA. The record is from RefSeq and is a predicted model, not a curated record. NCBI's taxonomy places the organism in Eukaryota, Metazoa, Arthropoda, Arachnida, Araneae, Theridiidae.